GGGUUGUGAGGUUAAGCGACUAAGCGUACACGGUGGAUGCCCUGGCAGUCAGAGGCGAUGAAGGACGUGCUAAUCUGCGAUAAGCGUCGGUAAGGUGAUAUGAACCGUUAUAACCGGCGAUUUCCGAAUGGGGAAACCCAGUGUGAUUCGUCACACUAUCGUUAAGUGAAUACAUAGCUUAACGAAGCGAACCGGGGGAACUGAAACAUCUAAGUACCCCGAGGAAAAGAAAUCAACCGAGAUUCCCCCAGUAGCGGCGAGCGAACGGGGAGGAGCCCAGAGUCUGAAUCAGCGCGUGUGUUAGUGGAACGGUCUGGAAAGUCCGGCGGUACAGGGUGAUAGCCCCGUACACUAAAAUGCACACGUUGUGAACUCGAAGAGUAGGGCGGGACACGUGGUAUCCUGUCUGAAUAUGGGGGGACCAUCCUCCAAGGCUAAAUACUCCUGACUGACCGAUAGUGAACCAGUACCGUGAGGGAAAGGCGAAAAGAACCCCGGCGAGGGGAGUGAAAAAGAACCUGAAACCGUGUACGUACAAGCAGUGGGAGCCUCUUUAUGGGGUGACUGCGUACCUUUUGUAUAAUGGGUCAGCGACUUAUAUUCUGUAGCAAGGUUAACCGUAUAGGGGAGCCGCAGGGAAACCGAGUCUUAACUGGGCGUUAAGUUGCGGGUAUAGACCCGAAACCCGGUGAUCUAGCCAUGGGCAGGUUGAAGGUUGGGUAACACUAACUGGAGGACCGAACCGACUAAUGUUGAAAAAUUAGCGGAUGACUUGUGGCUGGGGGUGAAAGGCCAAUCAAACCGGGAGAUAGCUGGUUCUCCCCGAAAGCUAUUUAGGUAGCGCCUCGUGAACUCAUCUUCGGGGGUAGAGCACUGUUUCGGCUAGGGGGUCAUCCCGACUUACCAACCCGAUGCAAACUACGAAUACCGAAGAAUGUUAUCACGGGAGACACACGGCGGGUGCUAACGUCCGUCGUGAAGAGGGAAACAACCCAGACCGCCAGCUAAGGUCCCAAAGUCAUGGUUAAGUGGGAAACGAUGUGGGAAGGCACAGACAGCCAGGAUGUUGGCUUAGAAGCAGCCAUCAUUUAAAGAAAGCGUAAUAGCUCACUGGUCGAGUCGGCCUGCGCGGAAGAUGUAACGGGGCUAAACCAUGCACCGAAGCUGCGGCAGCGACACUAUGUGUUGUUGGGUAGGGGAGCGUUCUGUAAGCCGUUGAAGGUGGCCUGUGAGGGUUGCUGGAGGUAUCAGAAGUGCGAAUGCUGACAUAAGUAACGAUAAAGCGGGUGAAAAGCCCGCUCGCCGGAAGACCAAGGGUUCCUGUCCAACGUUAAUCGGGGCAGGGUGAGUCGACCCCUAAGGCGAGGCCGAAAGGCGUAGUCGAUGGGAAACAGGUUAAUAUUCCUGUACUCGGUGUUACUGCGAAGGGGGGACGGAGAAGGCUAUGUUAGCCGGGCGACGGUUGUCCCGGUUUAAGCAUGUAGGGGAAGUUUAGGUAAAUCCGGACUUUUUAACGCUGAGGUGUGAUGACGAGGCACUACGGUGCUGAAGUAACAAAUGCCCUGCUUCCAGGAAAAGCCUCUAAGCAUCAGGUAACAACGAAUCGUACCCCAAACCGACACAGGUGGUCAGGUAGAGAAUACCAAGGCGCUUGAGAGAACUCGGGUGAAGGAACUAGGCAAAAUGGUGCCGUAACUUCGGGAGAAGGCACGCUGAUGGUAGGUGAAGCGACUUGCUCGUGGAGCUGAAAUCAGUCGAAGAUACCAGCUGGCUGCAACUGUUUAUUAAAAACACAGCACUGUGCAAACACGAAAGUGGACGUAUACGGUGUGACGCCUGCCCGGUGCCGGAAGGUUAAUUGAUGGGGUUAUCCGUAAGGAGAAGCUCUUGAUCGAAGCCCCGGUAAACGGCGGCCGUAACUAUAACGGUCCUAAGGUAGCGAAAUUCCUUGUCGGGUAAGUUCCGACCUGCACGAAUGGCGUAAUGAUGGCCAGGCUGUCUCCACCCGAGACUCAGUGAAAUUGAACUCGCUGGAAGAUGCAGUGUACCCGCGGCAAGACGGAAAGACCCCGUGAACCUUUACUAUAGCUUGACACUGAACAUUGAGCCUUGAUGUGUAGGAUAGGUGGGAGGCUUUGAAGUGUGGACGCCAGUCUGCAUGGAGCCAACCUUGAAAUACCACCCUUUAAUGUUUGAUGUUCUAACGUAGACCCGUGAUCCGGGUUGCGGACAGUGUCUGGUGGGUAGUUUGACUGGGGCGGUCUCCUCCCAAAGAGUAACGGAGGAGCACGAAGGUUAGCUAAUCCUGGUCGGACAUCAGGAGGUUAGUGCAAUGGCAUAAGCUAGCUUGACUGCGAGCGUGACGGCGCGAGCAGGUGCGAAAGCAGGUCAUAGUGAUCCGGUGGUUCUGAAUGGAAGGGCCAUCGCUCAACGGAUAAAAGGUACUCCGGGGAUAACAGGCUGAUACCGCCCAAGAGUUCAUAUCGACGGCGGUGUUUGGCACCUCGAUGUCGGCUCAUCACAUCCUGGGGCUGAAGUAGGUCCCAAGGGUAUGGCUGUUCGCCAUUUAAAGUGGUACGCGAGCUGGGUUUAGAACGUCGUGAGACAGUUCGGUCCCUAUCUGCCGUGGGCGCUGGAGAAUUGAGGGGGGCUGCUCCUAGUACGAGAGGACCGGAGUGGACGCAUCACUGGUGUUCGGGUUGUCAUGCCAAUGGCAUUGCCCGGUAGCUAAAUGCGGAAAAGAUAAGUGCUGAAAGCAUCUAAGCACGAAACUUGCCCCGAGAUGAGUUCUCCCUGACUCCUUGAGAGUCCUGAAGGAACGUUGAAGACGACGACGUUGAUAGGUCGGGUGUGUAAGCGUAGCGAUACGUUGAGCUAACCGAUACUAAUGAACCGUGAGGCUUAACCUUACAACGCCGAAGCUGUU
RNAcentral lists this ribosomal RNA (2926 nucleotides) under Klebsiella ornithinolytica. RNAcentral's name for it is "Raoultella ornithinolytica 23S ribosomal RNA". It matches the Rfam family "Bacterial large subunit ribosomal RNA". The record is from RNAcentral. Lineage: Bacteria; Pseudomonadati; Pseudomonadota; Gammaproteobacteria; Enterobacterales; Enterobacteriaceae.